GAUGAACGCUGGCGGCGUGCCUAAUACAUGCAAGUCGAGCGAACAGAUGAGGAGCUUGCUCCUCUGACGUUAGCGGCGGACGGGUGAGUAACACGUGGAUAACCUACCUAUAAGACUGGGAUAACUUCGGGAAACCGGAGCUAAUACCGGAUAAUAUAUUGAACCGCAUGGUUCAAUAGUGAAAGACGGUUUUGCUGUCACUUAUAGAUGGAUCCGCGCCGCAUUAGCUAGUUGGUAAGGUAACGGCUUACCAAGGCAACGAUGCGUAGCCGACCUGAGAGGGUGAUCGGCCACACUGGAACUGAGACACGGUCCAGACUCCUACGGGAGGCAGCAGUAGGGAAUCUUCCGCAAUGGGCGAAAGCCUGACGGAGCAACGCCGCGUGAGUGAUGAAGGUCUUCGGAUCGUAAAACUCUGUUAUUAGGGAAGAACAAAUGUGUAAGUACCUAUGCACGUCUUGACGGUACCUAAUCAGAAAGCCACGGCUAACUACGUG
RNAcentral lists this ribosomal RNA (497 nucleotides) under uncultured bacterium. RNAcentral describes it as "partial 16S ribosomal RNA". It matches the Rfam family "Bacterial small subunit ribosomal RNA", at positions 28 to 507 of the family's 1533-position model. The record is from RNAcentral.